AUUGAACGCUGGCGGCAGGCUUAACACAUGCAAGUCGAGCGAGUGGCGGACGGGUGAGUAAUGUCUGGGAAACUGCCUGAUGGAGGGGGAUAACUAAUGGAAACGGUAGCUAAUACCGCAUACCAUCAGAUGUGCCCAGAUGGGAUUUGCUAGUAGGUGGGGUAAUGGCUCACCUAGGAGACGAUCCCUAUCUGGUCUGAGCGGAUGACCAGCCACACUGGAACUGAGACACGGUCCAGACUCCGACGGGAGUCAGCGGGGGGGAAUAUUGCACAAUGGUCGCAAGCCUGAUGCAGCCAUGCGGCGUGUGUGAAGAAGGCCUUCGGUUUGUAAAGCACUUUCAGCGAGGAGGCGUUACUCGCAGAAGAAGCACCGGCUAACUCCGUGCCAGCAGCCGCGGUAAUUC
Molecule: ribosomal RNA, 406 nt
Filed under: uncultured bacterium
Lineage: Bacteria
Description: partial 16S ribosomal RNA
Rfam family: Bacterial small subunit ribosomal RNA
Source: RNAcentral